Molecule: ribosomal RNA, 600 nt
Filed under: Christensenella minuta
Lineage: Bacteria; Bacillati; Bacillota; Clostridia; Christensenellales; Christensenellaceae
Description: bacterial SSU rRNA
Rfam family: Bacterial small subunit ribosomal RNA
Source: RNAcentral
GGCGGACGGGUGAGUAACGCGUGAGCAACCUGCCCUGCAACGGGGGACAACAGUUGGAAACGACUGCUAAUACCGCAUGAGACCACGAAACCGCAUGGUUUUGAGGUAAAAGGAUUUAUUCGAUGCAGGAUGGGCUCGCGUCCCAUUAGAUAGUUGGUGAGGUAACGGCCCACCAAGUCAACGAUGGGUAGCCGACCUGAGAGGGUGAUCGGCCACACUGGAACUGAGACACGGUCCAGACUCCUACGGGAGGCAGCAGUGGGGAAUAUUGGGCAAUGGGGGAAACCCUGACCCAGCAACGCCGCGUGAGGGAAGAAGGUCUUCGGAUUGUAAACCUUUGUCCUAUGGGACGAAAGAAAUGACGGUACCAUAGGAGGAAGCUCCGGCUAACUACGUGCCAGCAGCCGCGGUAAUACGUAGGGAGCAAGCGUUGUCCGGAAUUACUGGGCGUAAAGGGUGCGUAGGUGGUCAUGUAAGUCAGAUGUGAAAGACCGGGGCUUAACCCCGGGGUUGCAUUUGAAACUGUGUGACUUGAGUACAGGAGAGGGAAGUGGAAUUCCUAGUGUAGCGGUGAAAUGCGUAGAUAUUAGGAGGAACACC